This 2929-nucleotide long non-coding RNA is filed under the name Sus scrofa (pig). Its description in RNAcentral is "lncRNA (ENSSSCG00040037031.1)". The record is from RNAcentral. Lineage: Eukaryota; Metazoa; Chordata; Mammalia; Artiodactyla; Suidae.
AAUUCCUUUCCCUUUUGCUUUGUUCCUUCUAAAAUAUUAAACCGUAGCAAGAGUGCACAUUUAUCAUGCUAGUCCCCAGAGAGUAGUUAUGUAAGGUUCCAUCAAACUGCAUUUCCUGGUUCUUCCUUAAGGUCAUUAAGAGGCUCCUCAUUAGUAGCUUCUAGAACUUGAAGGUGGGAUAUGCAUUAGUGGCACAGGAGGGGUGGGAACAAUCAGAAGGGGUGGGAACCUUAAGGAAGCUCUGCAUUUAGCUGGCUUGUCUGCUGAUGCCGUUUAAGCUUGUCUUGAGGUAGAGGUCUCCCAGAUGCUCCUCUCAGAUCCAGUUCUAAUGUUAAGGCUAACUGGAUAUGGUCUGCUUUACAGAGUUCUGCCUCAGGUUGGGGUGUGUGGAUCAAGAAUAUUCUGCAAACUCAGGUACUCUUCACUGUUCUUUCUGACUGUUGGGUUCCUAGAGGACUCAGAGAUGGAGUUUAGUGAUUAGAAUGGUUAAGUGCCCUGGAGAGCAACACCUUAUGAAUGGGAGAGGCAGGAAGCCUGAGUGGGCCAGGGAAGAAGUUAAGCUGUGAUGCAGGCCCAACAAUUUUGUCUAACUCCUUGGAGUUAGAAUGGCCCUAGAGUCAUCCCCCCCAGGUGGACUGAGAUGGCCUGGACUCUAACAUACCAAAUCAUUCUGUGUUUGGAUGUGCACCACUCUGGAAAGGGCAUGGCUUGGGGUGAGGUGGCUCUUUUUGGUCUUGGCAGUCUCUGAAGGAGCUGAUGGCAUUCCAGGCAGCAGAGAUAGUGACGCCUUCAUUGAAGGGGAAUCCUAGUAUCCAACACAUCGACUCUUGCAUGGGAGGAAAAGGCUUUCUUUCUACCUGUCCAUGUUUUUGGCUAGGACAUCUGUAACAAAAGACAGAUUAAUAAGAGGAAAACAAACAACUUUAUUAACAUGUUUAUUUCAUAUAAACCUAAGAGAAAUCUAGGGAAUGAGUAACCCAAAGAGAUGGCUUAGAUUUCAGUCUUCAAUACCAUCUUCUGCUAAAACAAAGAAAAGUGUGUUGGGGAGACAAGUUUUAAGAAGGUGACCAGGAAAUGUCUAAUAAACAAGGGUAAGGUUGUUGUGCAGAUUUAAGUCUGUGCCUUUUUUAUUGAUAAGUUUCUUCUGAUUUAGAGUUAUCCUUCUCUUUCUGGUACCAAGUAGGAGACAUUUUUACAAACGGAGGUUUCCUUAAUGUAAAUAGGUAACUUCUUGCCUGUUUUCAGAGCUUCUCCUCUGCCUGCCGUUUCUCAAAAUAAUCAACUCAAAAUAAUUAUUAUGCUCCAAAGGUGUAUUUUAGGGGGUUAUAUUCUGGUCUUCUAUACCCUCCAUAAUCUGGGAGCUUUAUAUAGGUUGUAUGAUCAAGAGGAGUACUCAAAUGAUGGAUUAACACAUAGUUGGAGUAAAUAACACAGUGGAGCGCUAGAGCAGCUUGUCCCGCUCUGAGAGCUGAUUAUUAAUUAAAUAUCCAGGCAUUUUUGCAAGCCAGCUGCUAAAACAUUAGCAGCUUGAAAUGGGCCAUGAUAGGAGUAUUUAGAUCACAGAAAUUGUCAAAUGCUGCAGAUGGGGUUUGUGGGCUUUUUUUUUUGCCUCCAGAGAGAUAAUUUACCAGUACACUAGUGAAUAUAUGCUUAUAUCAUUGCACUUUUAGGAGAACUGGAAAUAUCCACACAUCUCACUUUUCAUCUCACAGGAAAGUUCUUUCCCACAUGAUGAUUAUCUUAAAAUUCUACUGUUAGAUCUUCAUGUCUUCAAUUUGAACUGACUGCCUCUAAGGUGAUAUAGAGAAAUGUGUGAGUUUUGUCUUAGUGCUGUUGGGAAGCUAUAACAAAAAUACCUUAGCCUGGGUAACUUAAACAAAAAACUUUUAUUAAGUUUUAGAGGCUGGAAAGCCCAGGAUUAAGGCACCAACAUAUUUGAUGUCUGGUAAGAACUAACUUCCUGAUUCAUAAUUGCCUGUCUUCCUGCUAUAUGUCCUUAGGUGGUGGAAACAAUGAGAGAGCUCUCUCAGUUUUCUUUUAUAAGGGCACUAAUCCCAUUUAUGAGGAUUCUUCUCUCAUGACAUAAUCAUCUCCCAAAGGCCUCACCUCCUUGUACCAAGGAGGUGGUUAGAUUUCAACAUAUGAGUUUUGAGGAAAACGAGUAUUCAGUCUAUUGCAGUUUUGCAGUUAAUACUUGGGCUGAAACAUAUCUCUGCCACUUCUAGCAUUGAGACCUUGGAGAAGUUAACUUCUCAUAUAUAUAUUUUUUAAUCUAUAAAACUGAGAUCAUGUAAAUAUUACUGUACUUCCUUAACAUCUGCCCUUGGCAAGCAUGGAUUUCCUCUUUGGGACAAAGUUUGAGGUGGGCAUGUUGGGGGAAGUUUGUUGUUGUUUUUUAAUACAUCAUUUUUAAGGUGAAUGCUCUGUUUGAAAAACACAUCAUUUUAAUUUUAAAUCAAGCUGUUUGGCAUCUAUUUUCUGCUGAUUUCAGCACCUCCCUCCACUUCCCCCAAAUCCCCUCAAGCAUGCCUGCUGUGCCUGUGGUCCUUGCUGACUCAGCCCUUCCCUAUCCAGCUUCCCCAGGCCAAUUGCUCCCUGGUGAGGUCUUGUGAUGGGGAAGCUGCACGCAAAUUCAGAAAAAUUGUAAGGCAAAAAAGAAACUCUGGGGGAUUGUGAUGCUCCUGUUAUAUGUGAGAAAAAGAAUGUACUAUAUAUAUAUACAAAUGAGUCACUUUUCUGUACAGCAGAAAUUGACAGAACAUUGUAAAUCAACUAUAAUAAAUUUUUUUUAAUUCCAAAAAAAUGCAUAAGUAAAACUCUCUCAGCUUUCAGAAGUUCCCUUGUGGUGCAGUGGGUUAAAGAUCUGGUAUUGUCUGGCUUGGGUUGCUGCUGUGGCAUGGGUUCAAUCCCUAGCCCAGGAACUUCCACU